GAUGAAGAACGCAGCGAAAUGCGAUAAGUAAUGUGAAUUGCAGAAUUCAGUGAAUCAUCGAAUCUUUGAACGCACAUUGCGCCCGCCAGUAUUCUGGCGGGCAUGCCUGUUCGAGCGUCAUUUCAACCAUCAAGCCCCCGGCUUGUGUUGGGGACCUGCGGCUGCCGCAGGCCCUGAAAUGCAGUGGCGGGCUCGCUGUCACUCCGAGCGUAGUAGUUACAUCUCGCCCUGGGCGUGCUGCGGGUUCCGGCCGUUAAAAGCCUUAUUUACCCAAGGUUGACCUCGGAUCAGGUAGGAAGACCCGCUGAACUUAAGCAUAUCAAUAAGCGGAGGA
This 334-nucleotide unclassified non-coding RNA is filed under the name soil metagenome. Its description in RNAcentral is "partial contains 5.8S ribosomal RNA, internal transcribed spacer 2, and large subunit ribosomal RNA". The stretch from base 1 to 120 matches the Rfam family "5.8S ribosomal RNA", at positions 35 to 154 of the family's 154-position model. The record is from RNAcentral.